Molecule: long non-coding RNA, 633 nt
Filed under: Pongo abelii (Sumatran orangutan)
Lineage: Eukaryota; Metazoa; Chordata; Mammalia; Primates; Hominidae
Description: lincRNA
Source: RNAcentral
UCCCAUUUCAGAGAAACAACUUAUAAUCACAUUCUCAGGUCCUCUGGGGAUCUAGAGUGGUGGGAUCAUGUUGCCCAGGAGGCUACGUUGGAGCUAAUAAGAGUGCUCCCUGUUGAGAAGGGGAUUUCAAAGUGAAGACACAGAUUGAAGGAGCCCCUACCAUUUCAGCAUAGCCUGCUCCAUCUCAACCUUAUUCAUGUAAGUAUAAUAGGUUAUUAUUAAAGGUUUCCUUAAGCUUAUGGUCUAUUUGAGAACGAUGAGGUAUUCACUGCCUGCCAAUCAUGGUCUUCACAAUUAGGAAGUUUAUGCCUCAGUUAAUGGUUUUUCUUUUCCUCUUGAUGUAACAAAAGAAUUUAUCCUGAUGAUGUAAACCUAGAGAUACUACUGGUAGCCAAUUUUAUCACCAAGUGAUAACAGAGAUGGCCUGAGAAUGAAGCCAAGAAAGAGCACCACAGAACUAAGAGAAAGAACAGCUUCUGGAUACCUGAACAUGUGGAAUUUCCUGGAGGGUGGUGCACCCAGGAACUUCCACAUGUUCCAAGCAAGAGAAGGCAUGGAAACUCUGCACCCCUUCCCCUCAUUCCUCACCCUAGUUAUCUCUUCAUCUGUAUCCUUUGCAAUAUCCUUUAUAAU